GACGUAGGGCGCGAGCGUUGUCCGGAUUUAUUGGGCGUAAAGAGCUCGUAGGCGGCUUGUCGCGUCGAAUGUGAAAUCUCAGGGCUCAACUCUGACAUUGCAUUCGAUACGGGCAGGCUAGAGUUCGGUAGGGGAGACUGGAAUUCCAGGUGUAGCGGUGAAAUGCGUAGAUAUUGGGAAGAACACCGGUGGCGAAGGCGGCUCACUGGCUCGAUAUCUGACGCUCAGGCGCGACAGCGUGGGGAUCAAACAGG
Molecule: ribosomal RNA, 254 nt
Filed under: uncultured bacterium
Lineage: Bacteria
Description: partial 16S ribosomal RNA
Rfam family: Bacterial small subunit ribosomal RNA
Source: RNAcentral